Long non-coding RNA from Chrysemys picta bellii (western painted turtle), 1240 nucleotides. RefSeq lists it as uncharacterized. NCBI's taxonomy places the organism in Eukaryota, Metazoa, Chordata, Testudines, Emydidae. The record is from RefSeq and is a predicted model, not a curated record.
CGACGUAACAGUCCCUACCUCUUUGCAGAGGCCCGCCCCGCCUUCAGCCCGUGGAUCCGGAGCGUUCCACUUAUCGUCUCUGGCACUGCGGCUACUGGAUGGCACGUCCUCCCUUGCCCCAGCCAACACGCUGGCCCUGAUUGUCACCAUUAAUGAGUGCCCAGAGUUCCCUGUCAGAGCUGGCGCCUCACUGCGUACUGGCUGCUGUCCAGAUCCCUGCUUGCCAGCCGCCCACUCACCAGCGGUGAGUGGGAGGGUCCAGUGGCCGAUGAUGGGGGUGGGUAUGCAAGGCUGGUGGCGUGGUGAAGAUGCAGCAUGUGGGGCUGGCCGCUCCUCCACCGGUCCGUCAGCGCAGCCCCUGCUGCAUGCCAGCUCUCGGCCAGCAGGGCCCCAUCCCAUUUCCAGCUGGCACUGGCUGUGCUCUGCGAGCUGUGGUAUCUGCUUCUCCUAAACUCUGCACCUCCCACUCAAGAAUUGAGGAACCUGGACCUGAACUUUCUUGGCAUGCCAGAGGCGAGGCUGAUAUUUUGUCUCUUACCACCAGGUUAUCAAGGAAGGGUGUGAGUAUAUUAAUCAAAAGCUUUAUACUAUAUAAUAUCACAUGUAUCUCUAAAACACUAUUAUUGCCUUUGUAACAAUGAUUAUUUUACCAUUUGAUUACUAUUUGAUUACUAUUCCACUUACCUCAAUAAAAGUCUUUAAGGCUACAUUUGUCUCAGUGUGAGCAUCCUUGUCAGACAUACCGAGAGUCCCUGUAAACUCUGUGUAGCCUGAUUCUGGGACAAGAACAUUAUUAUCUUCUGAUCAGAUUAACUGGCAAGUCUCUAACCCAUAUUAUCUAAAAUAAUAAUAUUAACCUCCUUAAAUCAGGCAACACUGACUUUUACUUGAAUUUGGCAUCACUACCCCCUGCCCUGUGAGUGAAGUUUAAUACAGGAUGCCCCCUGUUGCAAUUAUUAAUAAUAUUAGAAAUUAUGUAUAUGGGAAACCACCAGACACUAAUUUUAUAUUAAAUUCCUUUAUGGAGUCCAAAAGCCAAAUGGACUUUUAUACAAUUGCUCUAAACAUGCCUAACAGCCUAAAAAUAAGUAGUCUCUACACUCAAACAGUCACAAAACAUUUAUAAGUAUGUGAUUAAGAUACUUACAAACAGGCAAAAGGUAGUAGUGCUUAGACCCAUAUUGGUCCGCUCCAAUGUGAUCAGGCAGGUAUUAGCAAUGAACCCCUUAAGAGUUUAUUG